CAAAACAAUAACUGAACGCCAAUAUAAUUCACAGUAUGAAAAUGGAAAAUUUAAUUAGAAUUUUCAAUUUUCAUUUAUUGCUCAAUAUGAAUAGCGUUCUGGCAUUAUUUCUAUUUAUUAUCAUCGCAGAAAGUAAAUACAUUACAAUCCAAGUUGAUUCAGAGGACAUUUUGAAAAUCAUAAAUGGGCUGGUGUCUUCAUUUGGGGUCAGUAAGCCAAUUUAUAGAAGGGGAAAUGGAAUGAGAUAUCGCAACCCUUAUCAUCCCGAAGAUGGAGUUUUAAAAGACUAUUCUGAUGUUAAAAGAUCGGUUCAUAACCAACAUACUUCAACAAGUUCAGAGACAAAUGAAAAUAUUGAUGAUGAAAUUGAAAUACAAAAUAAGCAGUUUAUCAUAGAAAGUCAAAACAAAUCUGAAAGCAAUGAUAUUUUAACUGAUAAUAGUAUUGAUAGAUUGGAAUGGAAACAAUCGAAAGAGUAUUUUAAAGAGAACAUUACUACUACUUCGAAAACGAAAUUUAUGAAGCAAGAAAGUAAUUUUCAGAAAAAGAUUUUAGCACCAUCAAAUUAAAUGUGAAUUUUAUUAAACAUGUUUUUUUUUUUAAUGAAUGAAAUAUUUAAUAAUAAAACGGUCAUAAUUAAAAAACUCGUAUCUACUGAUAUAUAUUAAAGGUAAGUACUAUUUCGCAAAAAC
Molecule: long non-coding RNA, 692 nt
Organism: Leptidea sinapis
Lineage: Eukaryota; Metazoa; Arthropoda; Insecta; Lepidoptera; Pieridae
Exons: 2
Source: RefSeq, a predicted model, not a curated record